UACGUAGGGGGCGAGCGUUGUCCGGAUUUAUUGGGCGUAAAGAGCUCGUAGGCGGUUUGGUAAGUCGGAUGUGAAAUCUCCAGGCUCAACUUGGAGGGGUCAUUCGAUACUGCCAUGACUAGAGUUCGGUAGGGGAGUGUGGAAUACCUGGUGGAGCGGUGAAAUGCGUAGAUAUCGGGAGGAACACCUAUGGCGAAGGCAGCUCGCUGGGACGUUACUGACGCUGAGACGCGAAAGCGUGGGGAGCGAACAGG
RNAcentral lists this ribosomal RNA (254 nucleotides) under uncultured bacterium. RNAcentral's name for it is "partial 16S ribosomal RNA". It matches the Rfam family "Bacterial small subunit ribosomal RNA", at positions 524 to 776 of the family's 1533-position model. The record is from RNAcentral.